UCUGCAGUCUGUAGGUGGCUCGUCUGCAGUCGCAGUCGCAGCUCCAGCUCGAACCUCGCGACGGCCGGUCUUCGCGCGGCCUCGGCUCCGGCCCCGGCCUCAGCCUCCCGGCGCGGCUCGCAGCGGCGGCGGCGGCGGCUCCCGCUCGACGGCCCCGGGCCGCCCCAGCACCCCGGACAGCGGCGCCUCCUGCCGGGACCCGGCCGUCUCCCCCCAUCCCCGCCGGGCUCGCGGCCCGCUGCCCUGAGGGCCCCAGGUACUGGACAGGCUGGAGGGGGGAAAGGGUGAACCUGGCGAGGUUUCGGCCGGUCUUAAAGAGCCUCGCGGCCCAACUCGUUCGUGCUCUUUCCUCACUCCUCCUAUCCAAUACAGCCCAGUGGGCAUUUAUUAACCACCUACUAUGUGCGAGGGCUUGGGGUGGCUCACCCCUCCCCCUCGAAGGCGGCCAUGCGGCAGGUACGCAGAUAAGUAUUUCCUUGAUGAAUAUAGUAGAUGCUUAAUAAAUGCUUGUUGAAUGAGUGAGUAGACGAACGAACGAACGAAUGAAUGAAUGAAUGAAUGAACAGGUAGGCUGCAGCUAGAUGGCGAACGGCUGGUCCGGGGCGGAGCACUGUGCAAUGGAAAGAAUGUGGACGGGGCUGUCUCACCUGAUCCUCACAACCACCCUGGGAGGUUUAACUGUUAGUAAUAUACAAAAGGUGGAUGAUUUUUGUGGAUUCAUUUCAUAUUCUACUUUGAUGCUGAUUAAGUAAGCCAUCAUGUCAUCUGCAAAUAGGGCCACGUCCAUCAGACUUGAUCAUCAUAUAGUGUUGUUGUUGAAGUAUAUAAUGAUCUCCUGGUUCUGCUCAUUUCAAGAAAACUUUAUUGAGAGUUUCUAAGUGGCAGGCAAUGUGCCGGCAACUCUGAGCACUCAGUGUAUCUCCAGGGUAAAUGGAAGAGAAUCUUGAGAGGCAGAUGGUGACAUUGGAGCUAGGACUGGAAACAAGCCAGGUAAGCUGGGACACUGACAUCGGUGUCCAAGACUAAGCCAGGUUGACAGUCACAGAAAAUGUCAUCUGAGAAUGGCGUAGCUUCGAGAGGAACACCAAGGGAGGUUGGCCCCGGGUGGAGCAGACAGAGCGUGGAGCAAGGUCACUUGGCAGCAGUUGGAAAGGCUGACUUCAGAAAAGCCUGGAGAGACUUACAUGAAUUGAUGCUGAGUGAAGUGAGCAGAACCAGGAGAACAUCGUACACGGUAACAGCAAGACUGUGUGACAAUCAACCUCGGCGGAAUUGGCUCUUCUCAGAAGUGUGGUGAUCCAAGACAAUUCCAGUUUACUUGGGAUGGAAAAGGCCACCUUGGGGACUGAAUUUGGAUCAAAGCAUACUAUGUAAUUGUUUUUUUCUCAUGGUUUCCCUUUUGAUUUUUCUUUCACAACAUGGAAACAUGUUUAGAAUGAUUGUACAUGUAUAACCUAUGUUAGAUUGCUUGCUAUCUUGGAGAGGGAGAAAAGUUUUUGUAACUCAAAAUCUUAAAGAAGUGAAUGUUGAAAACUAUCUUAACAUGUAAUUGGAAAAUAAAAUACUGUUAAGUAAAAAAAAGUGAGAGUGAGACUAGAUGAGAAUUCAGUAUAAAUUCCUGAAACUUAACUAAAAAUAUCAUUGGCAACAGAAAGUAAAAAAACUGGGAGAGCAAAUAGGAGUUUGAGAGAGAGUAAAAGAAAUUGAGAAAUGCAGGGGAAAGAGAAACAAUGGAAUAGAGAGAAAAUAAGAUGGAGGAGUAUAGAAGAGACAAAGUGAAAGACAAGUAGGGAAUGAGCAAAAGAUUAACAGUAGAAGUAGAGAAAGAAUGAGAGAGACAAACAAAAGCGGAGUGGGGGGAGAGAGAGUAAGAAGUAGUGAGAAAAAGAGGGAGAAUGGGAGGACAAGACAGAAAGAGAGAUGGAGAUAGGGAAUGAGAAAAAGAAUGAGAGGAUGACAAAGAGAAAGAAAACUUAGGAAAACAGUGAUUUUUUUUUAAAAAAAAAAGGACAGAAUGUGAGAGAGCCAUAGAAAUAACAGGAGAGGAAAAAGGAGGAGAGACAGAGAAAGCCCAAAACAGAAUGAAAUAGAAAAUGAGAGUGAUACAGAGAGAGUGAGAAAUGGGAAGAAAAUUAGAGGGAAAGAAAAAUAGUAGAAUAGAGAAAAAAGGGAGAUAGAACAAGAGAAAUAAAAAGAAAGACAGACACAGUGAAAGAGAAUAAAAGAUUGGAGAGGGAAAAGGGGAAAGAGUGGGAUAGGAGAGUGUGUGAGAUUGGAUUAUUAGCUUACAAUUUCUCAAUCCUUACAAAUGAGUGAGUCAAAGAGCAAAUUUUAGGAUGGAUAAUUUCAUUAAAGAUAAUGACAACAAUGAGCCAACAUAUGUGAACUGAUCCAGCCAUUCUUGAAAACAAUUGAGAACUUUGCCCAAAGGGCUAUCAAACUGUGCAUACCCUUUGAUCCAGCAGAGUCACUACUAGAUUUGUAUCCCAAAGAAAUCAUAAAAGAGGGGAUGGGACCCCCGUGUGCAAAAACAGCACCUUUUUCUGUGGUGGCAAAGAAAUGGAAAAUGAGGGGAUGCCCAUUGGUUGGAGAAUGGCUGAAUAAGUGAAUAAGAUAUAUGAUUGUAAUGGAAUAUUAUUGUUCUAUAAAAAAUGAUGAUUUCGGGGAGACUUACCUGAACUGAUGCUGAGUGAAGUAAGCUGAACCAGGACAAUAUUGUACACAGCAACAAGAUUAUGUGAUGAUCAACUAUGAUUGAUUUAGCUCUUCUAAGCAAUGCACUGAUCCAAGACAAUUGUGAAUUCAGAGAGAAUUAUGGAGACUGAAUGUAGAUAGAAGCAUAUUAUUUUCAUCUUUUUCCUUUUUCUUUCUCAUGGUUUUCCCCUUUCAUUCUGAUUUUUCUUUCAUAACAUGACUACUAUGUUUAAAAUGAUUAUACAUGUAUAAAUUAUAUCACAUUGCUUGCUGUCCUGGGGAGGAUAAACGGGAAGGAGAAAAAUAUUUGGAAUGAGACAAUGUACCAAAAUUUAUGUGAAACAGCCAAAAUAGUACCAAAUGGAAAAUUUAUGUUUCUAAAUACUUACAUCAAUAAAAUAGAGAAAGAGAUGGAUGAAAUGCAUAUGCAACUAAAAACUAGCAAAAAAUUAAAAAUCCUGAAAAUCAAAGGAAAGAUUAGUAAAAAUUGAAAACAAUAAAAGCACUUAACUAAUAAAACUAAGAGAUGUAUUCAUGGAAAAAAAACCCAACAAAAUAGAGAAAACAUUGGUUAGUUUGAAUUUUAAAAAGAAGAAAAUCAAAUUACCAGUAUCAAAAAUGAAAAGGGUGAAUUCACCACCACUGAAGAUGAAAUUAAAGCAAUUAUUAGGAGCUAUUUUGCCCAAUUAUAUCAACAAAUCUAACCAUCUAAAUGAUUUUUCUCUCUUUCUCAUCUUUUUCAAGAAUGAAAGAGAAAAAUUGCGAGAAAUAAAUGAGAUUGGAAGAAAUAUGAAAGUGAGAAACAAUAAGGGAGUGAGAGAGAAUGAGAAAAAGAAAAAAGGUGUAUUCUUGAAAGAAGAAAGAAUGGGACAGUGAGGCAAAAAUAAGAGAAAAAAGAAUGGGAGAGAAAAGCAAAGUAAAAAAGAGUGGGAGACAGAGCCAGGGAAAGAGAGAAAGAAAAAUGGAGAGUGAGAGAAAAGAAAAAUAGACAAAGCUUUGGAGACAGGGAAGGGAGCAAAAGAGACAGAAAAAGUGAAGAAAACAGGGAGCAUAAAAUAAAGAGAUAAGGGCAGAGUGAGGAAAAGGGAAAGCAUGAGUCAAAGUGUGGCAGAAAGAAAGAAAAAGAGAUGUUGGUGAAAGAGAAAUUCUGUGAGUGGAAUACAGAGAAAAAAGGAGAGAGGAAGAGAAAGAAGCAGAGAGCAUGAGUGGGAAAAACAAUUAGAAAUUCUCUUAUUUUUAUGCCAACAAAACUGAAGAUAAAAUGAAAUGGGUGAAUAUUUAUAAAAGUAUAAAAUGGAGGAAAUAACAAAUAUAAACAAUCUUAUCUCAGAGAAUCUGAGUAAAUCAUAAAUGAAAUCCAAGGAAAAAUUCCUAGUUUAAUUAUGAAUUAUAUCACACAUUUAAAGAACAGUUAAUCAUUCUGCUAUGUAAGCUGUUCACAAAGUAAUAGAGCAAGAUGCCACCUUUACCAAAUUCCUUCUAUGAGAAAAAUAUGGUCCUGACAAACUAAAUUAGGGAUAAAGCUAAUAAAGAAAAAUACACACCAAUAUCACUAAUUAUUUAGUUAACCAAGCAGGUAUAAUAUAUUAAAAAUUAUUCACUAUGAUCAAUUUAGAUUUAUACCAGAAGUAUAAGGUUGGCUCAGAAAUGCCAUAUAUUUGAAAAACUACGCAUUUAUAACACAUCAUAUUAAUAAAUCACAUAAUCAUUUCAGUUCGGAGGGGAAAAAAAGCCUCGGGGAAAAUAUACUUUUAUUUCUGAUAUCCAGUGAGAAUAUUAAUUAUGUUUUUUUAAUAUCUGUAAAAUCAGGAACUAGUUUUUAUUUGUAACAGAAUAACACCAUAGUCUUUCCCAGUAAGAUAAUACAAGAUUCCUCACUGUCUCUGUUAUUAUUUGAAUACCUUUCUAGAAAUGCUCCUAUAGCACUGACAAUGAAAAGUAGCUCAGGGAGAACAAAUCCAUCAAGGGAGAAGAAUAUCCCUUCUAUUGGCAGAUAAUAUGAUGUUUACUUUAAGAAUUAUGGGGUUUCAGAAAAAACACUCAUCAAAAUGACAGCCCCAGUAAAGUUGUAAGAUAUAAAAUGAAACUACAAGUUGUCACCUUUUGUCUACAUCACUUACAAUCCAAGAGGAAGAGAUGGACAGAAAAACUCUACUAAAUCCUCUGUGAUGCAUUAAAAAAUGGAUUUAAGAGACUGAGACACGGUUAAGAGUGAUCUAAACUCUGCCAUAAAGCACUGCUGAGUGUUUUAUGAGUAAAGUACAUUGGAGAGAGAUUCAUUACUCAUGGUUGGAGCGUGUCAAAAUGUUUUAAAAAAUUGUGAUGACAUUUAAAUUAAUUCAUAAAUUGAGUUUUUUUUUCAAGCAAUAUAUUACCAAGGCGUUCCUGUAUAGGACCAUAUAAGUCAUAAUGAAAGUUCAUUAAUUUCAAGGGAAAUAGUGGGAAAAAAUAAUAAUGAAGGGAGCUUAGCAUUAUCAAAUCUCAGAUGAUAGUAUGAAGCAGUAAUCAUCUAUUUGAAUGGUUUAUAUGGUUUAAGAAAAGGACUAGAGAAAUGGGACUUAGGAGUAAAGGAUACAGUCGUUCAGUGUUUUAUAAACCCAAAGAUAUUGAUAUCAUGGAUAUGGUAGAUAGAAGAGUUCUUGGGAAAUCACAUUGGACUAGCAUUUUAUACCACGUAAUCGUCAUAAGCCUGAAAUGGAUGUAUGACAGUAAUAUAAAAGGUCAUAGCACCAAAAAUUAAGAGUAAAGGUUCCAUAUAUACCAAAAUAUUCCUAAUUUUUUUUCCUUAACAGAAAAUUCUCCAAAUAAAAUUAGUCCUUGUCUCUUAGGAAACGGAUAAACAAAAUGUGAUAUGAAUGUAGUACGAUAUUAUUUAAUGUAAAAAAAAUGACUAUAAAAUUCAGAAACUUGGGCAGACUUGUAUGAACCUUGGGAACAUUAAUGAUAGUAAUUAUAAUUUCAAUAGUACUUUAAAGUUUACAGAAUUCUUUGGAAAUGUGAUCUCACUUUAUCCUCACAACUCUAAAAAGUUUGAAUAGUUAUCAAAAUAGAAAAUGCCCAGAUUCACAGAACAAGAAGUAAAGGGCUGAAAUAACAGUUCAUAAAAAGAAAUGAAACAAGCCAUAAAUGACUUCCAAAAAGGGAGAGAGGACCUUAGACUUUAUAAGUAAAUUUGAUUAUUCAGAAAAAAGAGUCCAUGGUGUUGUUAACCUAAACCAAGAAAAGUAAAAACAGAAAGAAAACUAUGGAUCAAUAUCCCUAAUGAACACGGAUGCAAAACAAGGUGGAAAUGAAGGGAAAAGACCUUAUGUAUAAAAAAGUAUUUAUAGCAGUUCUCUUUGUGGUGACAGAACCAACAAAAUGGAAACUAAGGGCGUGAGAAUGAUUUGGAGAAUGGGUAAACAAACAAUGCUAUUUGAAUGUGCUGUUAUUCAGCCAUUUUUCUGUCAUGUCGGAUUCUCUGUGACCCAGUUUGGGGUUUUCUUGGCAAAGAUACUGAUUGGCCAUUUCCUUCUCCAGCUCAUUUUACAGAUGAGGAAAUUGAGGCAAACAGGGUGAAGUGACUUGCCCAGGCUCACACAGUUAGUGUCUGAGGCUGGGUUUGACCUCAGGUUUACUUGACUCCAGUCCUGGCAUUCUAUCCAUUGCACAAUCUAAGGUGCCUUAUAUGAACACAGUGGAAUAUUACUGUGCAAGAAGAGAUGGCAAAGGGGAUACAUAGGGAAGAUGUGUAUGAACUGAUGCAGAGUGAAGUGAGCAAACCAGUAGAACCAUUUAUACAGUAAUAAUAAUUUUGUAAAGACAAAUUUGAAAGUCUUAAGAAAUUUGAUUAUUACAGUGAAUUACGAUACCAGUAGAACUAUGAUGAAACCUUCUGUCCAUUUUAUGACAGAGAGGUGAUACCUCAAAUUUUGUUUUGUUCAGUUAUGUCUUUAUUGCAAGAAUUUUGCUCUUUCCCCCCCAAAUAGGGUGGGAGAGGAGUAAAGUGGGGAAGAGAGAAAAUAGAUUUAUUUAACUGAAAAAGAACUAAACUUGAUUUUUAAAAAAGGAAACAGUAGGGAAGAUGGAUUGGUUAGGGGGAAAACUCAAAGGAAGACAACCAGUUUGGAGAUUGUUGCAGUAGCGUCUGCCAAAAGAAAGGAGGACCUGAAGAAGGGUGGUUAUAUCAGCACUGGAGGGAAAAGUGGGAGAGAUCUUUUCAAGGUUGAGAGCUUGGUAAUUAAUUGGAUAUGGGGCAGGGCUUAUCAGGAAUGGGUAAGAGUUCAGGUUCUGAGCUUACAAACCCGAGUGACUGUGAAGAUGGUGGUAGUGCUAUGAACAGAAAUCAAAGCCUUAUGGGAAAGCACAGGUUUGGGGAAAGAGGGAAGAUGUUCAAUUUGUGGUGCUGGCCGUAAGGAGCUCUGGGGAAAGAUCAUGGAUGGCUAUGCGGAUGUGAGUGUCAGUACUUAAACUGAAAAGAUGAGCAAAGUAGUUCCCCGAGGGAGAGAAUGGAGGAAGACUUAAGAGGAAAGUCCAGGAGAGAACCUUGCUGCAUAUCUCUAGUUUUAUAAUGGAAGGAGAAUAGAAAGUCAGCACAAGAAAGAAAUGGUCAGAGAGGGAGAAGGAACAUGGAGUACGGGGUAUCACCAGGGAAGAGAUGUUGGUGACUGAGGCCAAUAUACACACCGGCUACUUAUGGCCCAAGAAGGUCAAAGACAAAAAAGAAAAGCUCUGUAUAUCUCUGUAUAUAUAAUACUUGUCUUAUAUAUACUCUCUCUAUUCCCAAUAGCACUUCUGGUAGGACAAAAACUAGAAAUGAAGUGGAUGCCUAGUGGUAGGUGACAAAUUGCUGUCUAAAUUGUGGCAGGUAAAUGGGAGAGGUAUGAAUUAUGGCCCCAAAAUAAGAAGCAGGAGGAAUUCCAAGCAACACAAUCCAGGGCACAUUAGUGCGUGCUAGGGAUACAAAAGCAGAUGAGAUAGUCCUUACCUCCAAGUUAUCUGGAUUCUGUUGAGGAGCUGCAUAUAACCUGUACACAUUCACCAUGACAAUCUAGACUCAAAAUCAAUCCAGGGACUAAGGACUGGGGAAAUCAUCAGGGGAGAGAUCUCUUGAAGGAGAAGGCAUUUGACCUGAACCUUAAAGGGAAGGAAAAGUCCCAAUUACUAGAGGUGAUUCCAGACAUGGGGUGACUUUCACUGUACAGAAGAAUGAAGGUGGAAGGGAGAGGGUCCAGUAAAUCAGCUUGGUUGUAGUGGAGAAUGCUGUGGGAGGAGCAAGAUACAGUCAGUUUGUAGUGUUCCUGACAAUUUUGCAAUUUAUCCCAAAGGCAAUAGCAUCCACCAGGGUUUCUGUACGGAGAUUAGUCCUGUCCUUACUAAUCCAGAUCCCUGCCUCAUAGUUGCCUGACCCCUUCUACAUUUAAGGAAUCAGCAUGGGAUAGUUGAAAGCUUGAACUAGGGUGUCUGUGGUGUGCAUGGAGGGAAGGGGUGGUGGUGGGGGUGACAUUGAUGAAAUUUAAAGUAAUUGGAUAUGAGGAGUGAGUGAACUGAGUGAAGGGCCAAGGAAGACUCCUAGCUUGGAAACCCGGAAAUGAGAAAAUGCUGAAGAUGGCUUGUAAAUUGCCAAACAUGGGAAGACUUGUUGGAACUGAGAAGAAGUGAAGAAAGUUGAACAGAAGAACAUACCCGAUGACUACAAUAAUGUCAACAAAAGCCAGCACUAAAGGACAUUAGAACAUGGAGGAGAUCCGGCACCAGAGGAUGGAACCCAGGACAUCUCAAAGCAGAAAUGGAGACUUCAGAAUUUACCAAGACUGGAAAAAUCAUCAAAUAUGGAAACCUGGUUUCUUCAAUCUACAGAAGAGCUCCAAGAUCUGCAGCCAGGGAAUGGACACCAGCAUGAGAACAUAAGUCCCAGAAAACACCUUUUGUAGCUCCGUGGGCCUGUGGUCGCCAUUAUCAUCAUCAUUGUCGACAUUAUUGUUGUCCUCGUCGUCGUCCUCAUCCUCGUCGUCACUGCUCCAUGCUGUCUGGACCAGAGUGAUCCUUCUUUGUAAUCCAAAGUCAAAUCUACAGAGAAAGCAUGGCCCAUGGUCACAAAGGGACAUUGCUGCUGCUGCUCAACACUGCCAGUGCCAUUAGAAUUCUAAAUUACUUGAGAAUGCCUCAUGGAUUUGGGCAAGUUCUCUUUCGUUUUCCAGUCUAUGAACUCCCCAGAGAUUCAAUCCAGUUGUUCUGGGUUUCCAUUUUCCCUAAAGUGAAGCCUUUACAUCUCGGAAAACUUUGACAGAAAGCUAAGAGCAAGACUCAAGAAUAGAACCCAGCAUUCCUAGCUAUUGCAUCCAGUGUUCAAUCAUAUUAACAAUUUCUUGAAAGAAACACUACUAAAUUAUGAUCAUGGCUGGCCAGCUCAGACAUAUUCUUCAAGUGUAAUUGAUAAAGAAUACUCAGGUGAAUUUGUGGAAGUAGAUCACUGCUUCCUCCUAAUCUUCCCUAGUGCUCCUCUUUUGGGGAACUGUUUUAAUUUGUUUCAGGAGUGGAAGUUCUUGCACCCCCUAAAAAACCCCAAGAUGGUGGAACAGAGAGAACAUUCCAGUGGAACUCUACCAACUUGCCUUUCCAAAAAACUUGAAAAUAUCAAAUAAUCAAAUUCUGAAGUGCCAUACAAAGAAAAAGUUUGUCCAGCUGAAAAAAAUGUUUGAGGUGAGGAGAAGUUUGGGUCACUGGCUCAGAAGGCAAAGGGAAGGGCACUUACUAUGGAUCUUGGAGGACGGGAGGCACAGUGAUAGCUGCAGGAAUAGUUGUCACAUUUCUUAAAGUUUUCACUGCCAAGAAACCAAGUAUUAGACAACUGCUAAAAAGGUGAUUAGGGGCAGCUCUGUGUGGGCACGGUAGACAUUACCAGUUUCACACAAAGGGGGAGAGAGGCCAAUGCCAUCACAAAAAACUGGUGGUAACACCUGGAGCUCCAGAGUGAAGACGAUCACUUGUUAUCACAAGUAAACACAUUCCCUGCUACUGCUCCAGGGUGAAGAGGAGCACCUGCCAGCAUGAUGACAAGGAAGAGGAAGUCCCCCCUGCAGCUACUAGGUGAAGAGACCUUGCUAUAACAAAAAAAGCAAUAGUCCCAGCUGCAUCUCAGGGGUGCAUAGAGGCCUUUCCCAUUACAACAAAGCAGAGGUAUCGGCUGCAGUUCCAGUUUGAAGAAGACCACUUUCCCAUCACAAGUAACCAGAAGUCCCAGCUGUGGGUCCAGGGUGAGGAAGAGCACUUGUCAUCACAAUUAAUCAGAAGUCCCUGCUGCUGCUCCAGGGUGAAGAACAACAGUUGCCACCACAAGUUACCAGAAGUCCCUGAUGCUGCUCCAGGGUGAAGAGGAGCACUUGCCAUCACAAGUAACUAGAAUUCCCUGUAACAAGCUCCAGGGUGAAGAGGAGCACUUGCCAUCACAAGCAAGUAGUGGUCCCAGCUGCAGCCAUGGGACGGAGAGAGGGCUUUGGCAUCACAACAAACCAGAGGUCCCAGUUGCAGCUCCAGUUAGAAGAAAAACACUUUGCAUCACAAGUCACCAGAAUUCCCAGCUGCGGGUCCAGGGUGAAGAAAAGAACUUGCCAUCACAAGUAGCCAGAAGUCCCUGCUGCUGCUCCAGGGGGAAGAGGAGAACUUGCCAUCAAAAUGAAGCAGAGGUCCCAGCUGCAGCUCUGGGGUGGAGAGAGGCCUUUGUCAUCACAACCAAGCAGAGGUCCCAGCUGCAGUUUGCAUUUGAAGAACACUUCCCAUCAUCACAAGAAACCAGAAGUCCCUGCUGCUACUCCAGGGUGAAGAAGAACAAUUGCCAUUACAAGUUACUAGAAGUACCUGCUGCAGCUCCAGGGAGAAGAGGAAGACUUGCCAUCACAAGUAACCAGAAGGCCCAGCUGCAGCUACUGGGUGAAGACCAAUUGCCAUCACAAAAAUGGAAAGAACGCAGCUGAAGCUCCAGGGUAGAGAGAGGCCUUUGCCAUCAAACCCAUGUAGAGGUCUCAGUUACAGCUCCAGGAUACAGAGAGGCCUUUGCCAUCACAACCAAGCAGAGGUACCAGCUGCAGAUCCAGGAUGGAGAGAGGCCUUUGCCAUCACAACCUAGCAGAGUUCUAAGCUGCAGCUCCCGUUGGAAGAAGAAAACUUGCCAUAACAAAUAACGGGAAAUCCCAGCUGCAGGUCCAGUGUGACGAAAAGAAAUUGCCAUCACAAGUUACCAAAAGUCCCUGCUGCUGCUCCACAGUGAAGCGGAAAACUGGCCACCACAAGUAACCAGAAGUCCCUGCUGCAGCUCCAGGGUGAAGAGCAACACUUGCCAUCACAAGUUACCAGAAGUCCUUGAUGCUGCUCCAGGGUGAAGAACAGCAGUUGCCAUCACAAGUUACAAGAAGUCCCUGCUGCUGCUCUAGGGUGAAGAUGAACACUUGCCAUCACAAGUUACCAGAAGUCCCUGCUUCUGCUCCACAAUGAAGAGGAACACUUGCCAUCACAAGUUAGCAGAAAUCUUUCCUGCAGCUACUGGUUGAAGAAGACCAAUUGCCCUAAGAAAAAUGCAGAGGACGCAGCUGCAGCUUAGGGAUGCAGAGAGGCCUUUGCCAUCACAACUAAGCAGAUGUGCAAGCUGCAACUCCCGUUUGAAGAGGAACACUUCCUAUCACCAAUAACUGGAAGUCCCAGGGCAAGGUCCAGUGUGAUGAAAAGAACUUGCUAACACAAGUAACCAGAAGUCCCUGCUGCUGCUCCAGGGUGAAGAGGAACACUUGUCAUCACAAGUAACCAGAAGUCACUGCUGUUGUCCAAGGGUGAAGACGAACACUUGCCAACACAAGUUAACAGAAGUCCCUGCUGCGGCUCCAGGGUGAACAGGACCACUUGCCAUCAAAAGUUACCAGAAGUCCCUGCUGCAGCUCCUUGGUGAAGAGGACCACUUGCCAUCACAAGUUACCAGAAGUCCCUGCUGCAGCUACAGGGUGAACAGGACCACUUGCCAUCAAAAGUUACCAGAAGUCCCUCCUGCAGUUCCAGGGUGAAGAGGAACACUUGCCAUCACAAGUUACCAGAAGUCCUUGAUGCUGCUCCAGGGUGAAGAACAACAGUUGCCAUCACAAGUUACAAGAAGUCCCUGCUGCUUAUCCAGAGUGAAGAUGAACACUUGCCAUCACAAGUUACCAGAAGUCCCGGCAGCAGCUGCAGGGUGAAGAGGAUCACUUGCCAUCAAAAGUUACCAGAAAUCUUUCCUGCAGCUACUGGGUGAAGAAGACCAAUUGCCCUAAGAAAAAUGCAGAGGACUCAGCUGCAGCUUAGGGAUGGAGAGAGGCCUUUACCAUCACAACUAAGCAGAUGUGCAAGCUGCAACUCCCGUUUGAAGAAGAACACUUCGUAUCACCAAUAACUGGAAGUCCCAGCGGCAGGUCCAGUGUGAUGAAAAGAACUUGCCACCACAAGUAACCAGAAGUCCCUGCUGCUGCUCCAGGGUGAAGAGGAACACUUGUCAGCACAACUUACCAGAAAUCCUUGCUGUAGCUCCAGGGUGAAGAAGACCACGUGUGACCACAAGUACCCAGAAGUCCCUGCUGCUGUUCUAGGGUGACGAGGAACACUUAUGACGCCAAGUAACCAGAAGUCCCUGCUGCUGCUCCAGGGUGAAAGGGAACACUUGCCAGCACAACUUACCAGAAGUCCCUGCUGCAGCUCCAGGGUAUAGAGGAACACUUGCCAGGUCAACUUACCAGAAGUCCCUGCUGCUGCUCCAGGGUGAAGAGGAACACUUGCCAGCAUAACUUACCAGAAGUCCCUGCUGCUGCUCCAGGGUGAAGAGGAAUACUUGCCAGCACAACUUACCAGAAGUCCCUUCUGCAGUUCCAGGGUGAAGAGGAACACUUGCCAUCACAAGUUACAAGAAGUCCCUGCUGCUUAUCCAGAGUGAAGAUGAACAUUUGCCAUCACAAGUUACCAGAAGUCCCUGCUGCAGCUCCCGGGUGAAGAGGACCACUUGCCAUCAAAAGUUACCAGAAAUCUGUCCUGCAGCUACUGGGAGAAGAAGACCAGUUGCCCUAAGAAAAAUGCAGAGGAUGCAGCUGCAGCUUAGGGUGUAGAGAGGCCUUUGCCAUCACAACAAAGAAACUGUCUCAGCUGCAGCUCCACGAUGGAGAGAGGCCUUUGCAAUCACAACUACACAGAUGUCCCAGCUGCAGCUUAUGGGUGGAGGGAGGCCUUUGCCAUCACAACUAAGCAGAGGUCUAAGCUGCAGCGCCCAUUUGAAGAAUAACACUUCCUAUCACCAACAACUGUAAGUCACAGUUGCAGGUCCAGUGUGACGAAAAGAACUUUCCACCACAAGUAACCAGAAGUCCCUGCUGCUGCUCCACAGUGAAGAGGAAGACUUGCCAUCACAAGUUAACAGAAGUCCCUGCUGCAGCUCCAGGGUGAAGAGUAACACUUGCCAUCACAAGUUAACAGAAGUCCUUGAUGCUGCUCCAGGGUGAAGAGUAACACUUGCCAUCACAAGUUAACAGAAGUCCUUGAUGCUGCUCCAGGGUGAAGAACAACAGUUGCCAUCACAAGUUAUAAGAAGUCCCUGCUGCUGCUCCAGGGUGAAGAUGAACACUUGCCAUCACAAGUUACCAGAAGUCCCUGCUACAGCUCCAGGGUGAAGAGGAACACUUGCCAUCACAAGUUACCAGAAGUCCCUGCAGCAGCUCCAGGGUGAAGAGGACCACUUGCCAUCACAAGUUACCAGAAGUCCCUGCUGCAGCUACAGGGUGAACAGGACCACUUGCCAUCAAAAGUUACCAGAAAUCUUUCCUGUAGCUACUGGGUGAAGAAGACCAAUUUCCCUAAGAAAAAUGCAGAGGACGCAGCUGCAGCUUAGGGGUGGAGAGAGGUCUUUGCUAUCAAAACAAAGUAGAGGUCUCAUUUAUCGCUCCAGGAGAGAAUGAGCCCUUUGCCAUCAGAACUACGCAGAUGGCCCAAGUGUAGCUUAGAAGUGGAGAGACCCCUUGGCCAUCACAACUAAACAGAGGUCCAAGCUGCAGCAACCGUUUGAAGAAGAACACUUCCUAUCACCAAUAACUUGAUGUCCCAGCUGCAGGUCCAUUGUGACAAAAAGAACUUGCCACCACUAGUAACCAGAAGUCCCUACUACAGCUCCAGGGUGAAGAGGAACAGUUGCCAGCACAACUUACCAGAAGUCCCUGCUACAGCUCCAGGGUGAAGAGGAACACUUGCCAGCACAACUUACCAGAAAGUUGUAGCUCCUUGCUGUAGCUCCAGGGUGAAGAAGACCACGUGUGACCACAAGUACCCAGAAGUGCCUGCUGCUGCUCUGGGGUGACAAGGAACACUUAUGACCCCAAGUAACCAGAAGUCCCUGCUGCCGCUACAGGGUGAAGAGAAACACUUGUCAUCACAAGUAACCAGAAAUCCCUGCUGCUGCCCUAGGCUGAAAAGGAACACUUGCCAACACAACUUACCAGAAGUCCCUGCUGCUGCUCCAGGGUGAAGAGGAAUACUUGCCAGCACAACUUACCAGAAGUCCCUGCUGCUGCUCCAGGGUGAAGAGGAACACUUGUGACCCCAAGUAACCAGAAGUCCCUACUGCCGCUGCUGGGUGAAGAGAAAAACUUGUCAUCACAAGUAAGCAGAAGUCCCUGCUGGAGCUCCAGGGUGAAGAGGACCACUUGCCAUGGAAUGUUAGCAGAAAUCGUUCCUGUAACUACUGGGUGAAGAAGACCAAUUGCCCUAAAAAAAAUGCAUAGGACACAGCUGCAGCUUAGGGUUGAGAGAGGCCUUUGCCAUCACAACUACAUAGAAGUGCCAGCUGCAGCUUAUGGGUGGAAGUAGGCCAUUCCCAUCACAACUAAGCGGAGGUCCAAGCUGUAGCUCCCGUUUGAGGAACACUUCCUAUCUCCAAUAACUGGACGUCCCACCUGUAGGUCCAGUGUGACGAAAAGAAUUUGCCACCACAAGUACCCAGAAUCCCUGCUGCUGCUCAAGGGUGAAGAACAACUGUUGCCAUCACAAGUUACCCUGAAGUCCCUGCUGCCGCUCCAGGGUGAAGAGGAACACUAGUCAACACAAGUAGCCAGAAAUCCCUGCUGCUGCUCCAGGGUGAAGAGAAACACUUUUCAUCACAAGUAACCAGCAAUCCCUGCUGCUGCUCCAGGUUGAAGAGGAACACUUGCCAGCACAACUUAACAGAAGUCCCUACUGCCGCUCCAGGGUGAAGAGGAACACUUGCCAUCACAACUUGCCAGAAGUCCCUUCUGCAUCUCCAGGGUGAAGAGGAACACUUCCCAUCACAAGUUAUUAUAAGUCCCUGUUGCAGCUCCAGGGUGAAGAGGAACACUUGCCAUCACAUGUUGUCAGAAGUCCCUUCUUAAGCUCCAGGGUGAAGAGGAAUAAUUGCGAACAUAAGUACCCCUAAUUCCUGCUGCUGCUCGAGGGCGAAGAACAACUGUUGCCAUCAGAUGUUGCCUGAAGUCCCUGCUGCCGCUCCAGGGUGAAGAGGAACACUUCUGACCACAAGUAACCAAAAGUCCCUGCUGCAGCUCUAGGGUGAAGAAGAACAUUUCUGACCACAAGUAACCAAAAGUCCCUGCUGCAGCUCCAGGGUGAAGAGGAACACUUGCCAUCACAAGUAACGAGAAAUCCCUGCUGCUGCUCCAGGGUGAAGAACAACAGUUGCCAUCACAUGUUGCCAGAAGUCCCUGCUGUUGGUCCAGGUUGACGACGAACACUUUUGAUCACAAGUAACCAGAAGUCCCUGCUGUAGUUCCAGGGUGAAGAGGAACACUUGUGAACAGAAGUACCCAGAAGUCCCUGCUGCUGCUCCAGGGUGAAGACGAACAAUUGUCAUCACAAGUAACCAGAAGUCCCUGCUGCGGCUCCAGGGGGAAGAGGACCACGUGCCAUGAAAUGUUACCAGAAAUCUUUCCUGAAGCUACUGGGUGAAGAAGACCAAAUUCCCUAAGAAAAAUGCAGAAGACACAGCUGCAGCUUAGGGGUGGAGAGAGGCCUUUGAUAUCACAACAAAUCAAAGGUCUCAGUUGCAGCUCUGGGUUGGACUGAGGUCUUUGCUAUCACAACCUAGCAGAGGUCUCAUUUACUGCUCCAGGAUAGAACGAGGCCUUUGCCAUCACAACUACGCAGACGUCCCAACUGCAGCUUAGGGGUGGAGAGAGGCCUUUGCCAUCCCAACCAAGUAAAGGUCCAAGCUGCAGCUCCCCUUUGAAGAAGAACACUUCCUAUCACCAAUAACUAGACGUCCCAGCUGCAUGUCCAGUGUGAGAAAAAGAACUUGCCAACACAAGUAACCAGAAAUCCCUGGUGCUGCUCCAGGGUGAAGAACAACAGUUGCCAUCACAACUUGCCGAAGUCCCUGCUGCUGCUCGAGGGUGAAGACAAACACUUGUCAUCACAAGUAACCAGAGUUCCCUGCUGCAGCUCCAGGGUGAAGACGAACAGUUGUCAUCACAAGUACCCAGAAGUCCCUGCUGCUGCUCCAGGGUGACGAACAAUAGUUGCCAUUAAAAGUUGCCUGAAGUCCCUGCAGCUUUUCCAAGGUGAAGAGGAACUCUUGCCAUCACAAGUUACCAGAAGUCCCGGCUGCUGCUCCAAGGUGAAGAGGACCACGUGCCCUGAAAUCUUUUCUGAAACUACUGGGUGAUGAAGAUUAAAUUCCCUAAGAAAAAUGCAGAAGACACAUCUGCAGCUUACGGGUGGAGAGAGGCCUUUGAUAGCACAACAAAUCAGAGGUCGCAGUUGCACCUCUGGGUUGGACAGAGGUCUUUGCUAUCACAACCUAGCAGAGGUCUCAUUUACCGCUCCAGGAUAGAACGAGGCCUUUGCCAUCACAACUACGCAGACUUCCCAACUCCAGCUUAGGGGUGGAGAGAGGUCUUUGCCAUCACAACUAAGCAGAGGUCCAAGCUGCACCUCCUGUUUGAAGAACACUUCCUAUCACCAAUAACUAAAUGUCCCAGCUGCAGGUCCAGUGUGAAGAAAAGAACUUGCCUCCACAAGUAACAAGAAGUCCCUCCUGCUGCUCCAGGGUGAAAAACAAUAUUUGCCAUCACAAGUUGCCAGAAGUCCCUGCUGCUGCUUCAGGGUGAAGAGGAACACUUGUGACCACAAGUACCCAGAAAUCCCUGCUGCUACUCCAUGGUGAAGAACAACAGUUGCCAUCACAAGUAAUCAGAAGUCCCUGCUGUACCUCCAGGGUGAAGAGGAACACUUGUGAUCACAAGUAACCAAAAGUCCCUCCUGCAGCUCCAAGGUGAAGAGGAACAACUUGCCAUCAAAAGUUACCAGAAGGCCCUGCUGUAGCUCCAGGGUGAAGAGGAAAAGUUGUGACCACAAGUACCCAGAGGUCCCUGCUGCUGCUCCAGGGUGAAGAGGAACACUUGUGACCCCAAGUAACCAGAAGUCCCUGCUGCCGCUACAGGGUGAAGAGAAACACUUGUCAUCACAAGUAACCAGAAAUCCCUGCUGCUGCCCUAGGUUGAAAAGGAACACUUGCCAGCACAACUUACCAGAAGUCCCUGCUGCAGCUCCAGGGUAUAGAGGAACAAUUGCCAGGUCAAUUUACCAGAAGUCCCUGCUGCUGCUCUAGGGUGAAGAGGAACACUUGCCAGCACAACUUACCCGAAGUCCCUGCUGCAGCUCCAGCGUAUAGAGGAACACUUGCCAGGUCAACUUACCAGAAGUCCCUGCUGCUGCUCCAGGGUGAAGAGGAACACUUGUGACCCCAAGUAACCAGAAGUCCCUGAAGCCGCUACAGGGUGAAGAGAAACACUUGUCAUCACAAGUAACCAGAAAUCCCUGCUGCUGCUCCAGGUUGAAGAGGACCACUUGCCAUCAAAUGUUAGCAGAAAUCUUUCCUGUAACUACUGGGUGAAGAAGACCAAUUGCCCUAAGAAAAAUGCAUAGGACAGAGCUGAAGCUUAGGGUUGAGAGAGGCCUUUGCCAUCACAACUACAUAGAUGUGCCAGCUGCAGCUUAUGGGUGGAAGGAGGCCAUUCCCAUCACAACUAAGCAGAGGUCCAAGCUGUAGCUCCUGUUUGAAGAACACUUCCUAUCUCCAAUAACUGGACGUCCCACCUGUAGGUCCAGUUUGACGAAAAGAACUUGCCACCACAAGGAACCAGAAGUCCCUGCUGCAUCUCCAGGGUGACGAGGAAUACUUGUGACCACAAGUACCCAGAAUCCCUGCUGCUGCUCAAGGGCAAAGAACAACUGUUGCCAUCACAAGUUACCCUGAAGUCCCUGCUGCCACUCCAGGGUGAAGAGGAACACUAGUCAACACAAGUAGCCAGAAGUCCCUCCUGCUGCUCCAGGGUGAAGAGGAACACUUGCCAUCACAACUUGCCAGAAGUCCCUGCUGCAGCUCCACGGUGAAGAGGAACACUUGCCAUCACAUGUUGUCAGAAGUCCCUUCUUAAGCUCCAGGGUGAAGAGGAAUAAUUGCGACCAUAAAUACCCCUAAUUCCUGCUACUGCUCGAGGGCAAAGAACAACUGUUGCCAUCACAUGUUGCCUGAAGUCCCUGCUGCCGCUCCAAGGUGAAGAGGAACACUUGUGACCACAAGUACGCAGAAGUCCCUGCUGCUGCACCAGGGUGAAGAAAAACAGUUGCCAUUACAAGUUGCCAGAAGUCCCUGCUGCACCUCCAGGGUGAAGAGGAACACUUGUGACCACAAGUAACCAGAAGUCCUUGCUGCAGCUCCAGGGUGAAGAGGAACACUUGCCAUCACAAGUAACGAGAAAUCCCUGCUGCUGCUCCAGGGUGAAGAACAACAGUUGCCAUCACAUGUUGCCAGAAGUCCCUGCUGCUGGUCCAGGGUGACGACAAACACUUUUGAUCACAAGUAACCAGAAGUCCGUGCAUUAGUUCCAGGGUGAAGAGGAACAUUUGUGAACAGAAGUACCCAGAAGUCCCUGUUGCUGCUCCAGGGUGAAGAAGAACACUUGUGACCACAAGUAUCCCAAAGUCUCUGCUGCUGCUCCAGGGUGAAGACGAACAAUUGUCAUCACAAGUAACCAGAAGUCCCUGCUGUAGCUCCAGGGUGAAGAGGAACACUUGUGACCACAAGUACCCAGAAGUCCCUGCUGCUGCUCCAGGGUGAAGAACAACAGUUGCCAAUACAAGUUGCCUGAAGUCCCUGCUGCUGCUCCAAGGUGAAGAGGACCACGUGCCAUGAAAUGUUACCAGAAAUCUUUCCUGAAGCUACUGGAUGAAGAAGACCAAAUUCCCUAAGAAAAAUGCAGAAGACACAGCUGGAGCUUAGAGGUGUAGAGAGUCCUUUGAUAUCACAACAAAUCAAAGGUCUCAGUUGCAGCUCUUGGUUGGACUGAGGUCUUUGCCAUCACAACCUAGCAGAGGUCUCAUUUACUGCUCCAGGACAAAACGAGGCCUUUGCCAUCACAACUACGCAGACGUCCCAACUGCAGCUUAGGGGUGGAGAGAGGCCUUUGCCAUCCCAACCAAGUAAAGGUCGAAGCUGCAGUUACCCCUUUGAAGAAGAACACUUCCUAUCACCAAUAACUAGACGUCCCAGCUGCAUGUCCAGUGUGACAAAAAGAACUUCCCAACACAAGUAACCAGAAAUCCCUGGUGCUGCUCCAGGGUGAAGAACAACAGUUAACAUAACAUAUAACCAGAAGUCCAUGCUGCUACUCCAUGGUGAAGAACAACAGUUGCCAUCACAAGUUGCCAGAAGUCCCUGCUGCUGCUCGAGGGUGAAGACGAACACUUAUCAUCACAAGUAACCAGAAGUCCCUGCUGCAGCUCCAGGGUGAAGUCGAACAGCUGUAAUCACAAGUACCCAGAAGUCCCUGCUGCUGCUCCAGGGUGACGAACAAUAGUUGCCAUUACAAGUUGCCUGAAGUCCUUGUAGCUUUUCCAACGUGAAGAGGAACUCUUGCUAUCAGAAGUUAGCAGAAGUCCCGGUGGUAGCUCCAAGGUGAUGAGGAACACUUGUCAUCACAAGUACCCAGAAGUCCCUGCUGCUGCUCUAGGGUGAAGAAUAACAGUUUCCAUUACAAGUUGACUAAAGUCCCUGCUGCUGUUCCAAGGUGAAGAGGACCAUGUGCCCUGAAAUCUUUUCUAAAUCUACUAGGUGAUGAAGACUAAAUUCCCUAAGAAAAAUGCAGAAGACACAGCUGCAGCUUACGGGUCGAGAGAGGCCUUUGAUAGCACAACAAAUCAGAGGUCGCAGUUGCACCUCUGGGUUGGACAGAGGUCUUUGCUAUCACAACGUAGCAGAGGUCUCAUUUACCGCUCCAGGAUAGAACGAGGCCUUUGCCAUCACAACUAAGCAGAGGUCCAAGCUGCACCUCCCAUUUGAAGAAUACUUCCUAUCACCAAUAACUAAAUGUCCCAGCUGCAGGUCCAGUGUGAAGAAAAGAACUUGCCUCCACAAGUAACCAAAAGUCCCUCCUGCUGCUCCAGGGUGAAAAACAAUAUUUGCCAUCACAAGUUGCCAGAAAUCCCUGGUGCUACUCCAGGGUGAAGAACAAUAGUUAACAUAACAUGUAACCUGAAGUCCCUGCUGCUGCUUCAGGGUGAAGAGGAACACUUGUGACCACAAGUACCCAGAAAUCCCUGUUGCUACUCCAUGGUUAAGAACAACAGUUACCAUCACAAGUUGCCAGAAGUCCCUGCUGUUGCUCCAGGGUGAAGAGGAACACAUGUGAUCACAAGUAACCAAAAGUCCCUCCUGCAGCUCCCAGGUGAAGAGGAACACUUGCCAUCAAAAGUUACCAGAAGUCCCUGCUGCAGCUCCAGGGUGAAGACGAACAUUUGUCAUCACAAGUAAUCAGAAGUCCCUGCUGUAGCUCCAGGGUGAAGAGGAACACUUGUGAGCAAAAGUACGCAGAAGUCCCUGCUGCUGCUGCAGGGUGAAGAGGAACACUUGUGACCACAAGUAACCAGAAUUCCCUGCUGAUGCUCUAGGGUGAAGAGGAAUACUUGUCAUCACAUGUUACCAGAAGUUCCUGCUGCAGGUCCAGGGUAAAGACGAACACUUGUGACCAUAAGUACCCAGAAGUCCCUGCUGCUGCUCCAGGGUGAAGAACAACAGUUUCCAUUACAAGUUCCCUGAAGUCCCUGCUGCUGCUCCAAGGUGAAGAAGACCACCUGCCAUGAAAUGUUACUAGAAAUCUUACCGGAAGCUACUAGGUGAAUAUGACCAAAUUCCCUAAGAAAAAUGCAGAAGACGCAGCUGCAGCUUAGGGGUGGAGAGAGGCCUUUGCCAUCACAACCAAGCAGAGGUCCAAGCUGCAGCUCCUGUUUGAAGAAGAACCCUUCCUAUCACCAAUAACUGGACAUCACAGCUGCAGGUCCAGUGUAAAGAAAAGAACUUGCCUCCACAAGUAUCGAGAAGUCCCUCCUGCUGCUCCAGGGUGAAGAACAACUGUUGCCAUCAAAAGUUACCAGAAGUCCCUGCUGCAGCUCCAGGGUGAAGACGAACAUUUGUCAUCACAAGUAAUCAGAAGUCCCUGCUGUAGCUCCAGGGUGAAGAGGAACACUUGUGAGCAAAAGUACCCAGAAGUCCCUGCUGCUGCUGCAGGGUGAAGAGGAACACUUGUGACCACAAGUACCCAGAAGUCCCUGCUGCUGCUGCAGGGUGAAGAGGAACACUUGUGACCACAAGUAACCAGAAUUCCCUGCUGACGCUCUAGGGUGAAGAGGAAUACUUGUCAUCACAUGUUACCAGAAGUUCCUGCUGCAGGUCCAGGGUAAAGACGAACACUUGUGACCAUAAGUACCCAGAAGUCCCUGCUGUACCUCCAGGGUGAAGAACAACAGUUUCCAUUACAAGUUCCCUGAAGUCCCUGCUGCUGCUCCAAGGUGAAGAAGACCACCUGCCAUGAAAUGUUACUAGAAAUCUUACCGGAAGCUACUAGGUGAAGACGACCAAAUUCCCUAACAAAAAUGCAGAAGACGCAGCUGCAGCUUAGGGGUGGAGAGAGGCCUUUGCCAUCACAACAAAGCAGAGGUCCAAGCUGCAGCCCCUGUUUGAAGAAGAACCCUUCCUAUCACCAAUAACUGGACAUCACAGCUGCAGGUCCAGUGUAAAGAAAAGAACUUGCCUCCACAAGUAUCGAGAAGUCCCUCCUGCUGCUCCAGAGUGAAGAACAACUGUUGCCAUCACAAUUUGCCAGAAGCCCCUGCUACUGCUCCAGGGUGAAGAGGAACACUUGUGACGACAAGUAACCAGAAGUCCCUGCUGACGCUCUAGGUUGAAGAGGGAUACUUGCCAUCACAAGUUACCAGAUGUCCCUGCUGCAGCUCCAGGGUGAAGAGCAACACUUGCCAUCAAAGGUUACCAGAAAUCUUUCCUGUAGCUACUGGGUGAAGAAGACCAAUUACCCCAAGAAAAAUGCAGAGGACGCAGCUGCAGAUUAAGGGUGGAGAGAGGCCUUUUCUAUCAAAACAAAGCAGAGAUCUCAGCUGCAGCUCCAAGAUGGAGAGAGGCGUUUUCCAUCACAACUACAUAGAUGUCCCAGCUGCAGCUUAAGGAUGGAUGUAGGCCUUUGCUAUCACAACUAAGCAGAAGUCCAAGCUGCACCUCCCGUUUGAAGAAAAACACUUCAUAUUCCCCAUAACUAUACGUCCCAGUUGCAUGUCCAGUGUGACAAAAAGAUCUUGCCACCACAAGUAACCAGAAGUCCCUGGUACUGCUCCAGGGUGAAGAACAACAGUUAACAUAACAUGUAAGCAGAAGUCCCUGCUGCUACUCCAGGGUGAAGAACAACAGUUGUCAUCACAAGUAACCAGAAGUCCCUGCUGCUGCUCCAGGGUGAAGAACAACAGUUACCAUUACAAAUUGCCUGAAGUCCCUGCUGCUGCUCCAAGGUGAGGAGGAACACUUGCCAUCACAAGUUACCAGAAGUCCCUGAUGUAGCUCCAGGGUGAAGAGGAACACUUGUGAUCACAAGUUGCCAGAAGUCCCUGCUGUAGCUCCAGGGUGAAGAGGAACACUUGUGAUCACAAGUUACCAGAAGCCCCUGCUGCUGCUCCAGGGUGAAGAGGAACACUUGUGACCACAAGUACCCAGAAGUCCCUGCUGCUACUCCAGGGUGAAGAACAACAGUUGCCAUUACACGUUGCCUGAUGUACCUGCUGCUGUUCCAAGGUGAAGACGAACACUUGCCAUCACAAGUUACCAGAAGUCCCUGCUGUAGAUCCAGGGUGAAGAGGAACACUUGUGAUCACAAGUUACCAGAUGUCCCUGCUGCUGCUCCAGGGUGAAGAGGACCAAGUGCUAUGAAAUGUUACCAGAAAUCUUUCCUGAAGCUAGUGGGUGAAGAAGACCAAUUUCGCUAAGAAAAAUGCAGAAGACACAGCUGCAGCUUAGGGGUGGAGAGAGGCCUUUGAUAUCAUAACAAAUCAGAGGUCUCAGUUGCAGCUCUGGGUUGGACAGAGGUCUUUGCUAUCACACCCUAGCAGAGGUCUCAUAUACCGCUCCAGGAUAGAACGAGGCCUUUGCCAUCACAACUACGCAGACGUCACAACUGCAGCUUAGGGGUGGAGAGAGGCCUUUGCCAUCACAACCAAGCAGAGGUCCAAGCUGCAGCUCCCGUUUGAAGAAGAACACUUACUAUCACCAAUAACUGGACAUCACAGCUGCGGGUCCAGUGUGAAGAAAAGCACUUGCCUCCAAAAGUAACCAGAAGUCCCUCCUGCUGCUCUAGGGUGAAGAACAACAGUUGCCAUCACAAGUUGCCAGAAGUCCCUGCUGCUGCUCCAGGGUGAAGAGGAACACUUGUGAUGUCAAGUAACCAGAAGUCCCUGCUGACGCUCCAGGGUGAAGAGGAAUACUUGCCAUCACAAGUUACCAGAAGUCCCUGCUGCAGCUCCAGGGUGAAGAGCAACACUUGCCAUCACAAGUUACCAGAAGUCCCUGCUGUAGCUCCAGGGUGAAGAGGAACACUUGCGAUCACAAGUUACCAGAAGUCCCUGCUGCUGCUCUAGGGUGAAGAAUAACAGUUGCCAUCACAAUUUGCCAGAAGUCCCUGCGGCUGCUCCAGGGUGAAGAACACUUGUGGCGACAAGUAAACAGAAGUUCCUGCUGACGCUCCAGGGUGAAGAGGAACACUUGUGACCACAAGUACCCAGAAGCCCCUGCUGUAGCUCCAGGGUGAAGAGGAACACUUGUGACCACAAGUACCCAGAAGUCCCUGCUGCUGCUCCAGGGUGAAGAACAAGAUUUGCCAUUACAAGUUGCCUGAUGUACCUGCUGCUGCUCUAAGGGGAAGAGGAACACUUGGCGUCACAAGUUACCAGAAGUCCCUGCUGCUGCUCCAGGGUGAAGAACAACAGUUGCCAUUACAAGUUACCAGAAGUCCCUGCUGUAGCUCCAGGGUGAAGAGGAACACUUGUGAUCACAAGUUACCAGAAGCCCCUGCUGCUGCUCCAGGGUGAAGAGGAACACUUGCCAUCAAAAGUUACCAGAAGUCCCUGCUGUAGCUCCAGGGUGAAGAGGAACACUUGUGAUCACAAGUUACCAGAAGUCCCUGCUGCUGCUCUAGGGUGAAGAACAACAGUUGCCAUUACAAGUUGCCUGAAGUCCCUGCUGCAGCUCCAGGGUGAAGAGGAACACUUGCCAUCACAAGUUACCAGAAGUCCCUGCUGUAGUUCCAGGUUGAAGAGGAACAUCUGUGACCAUAAGUAACCUGAAGUCCCUGGUGCUGCUCCAGGGUGAAGAACAACAGUUGCCAUUACAAGUUGCCUGAAGUCCCUGCUGCUGCUCCAAGGUGAAGAGGAACACUUGCCAUCACAAGUUACCAGAAGUCCCUGCUGCAGCUCCAGGGUGAAGAGCAACACUUGCCAUCACAAGUUACCAGAAGUCCCUGCUGCAGCUCCAGGGUGAAGAGCAACACUUGCCAUCACAAGUUACCAGAAGUCCCUGCUGCAGCUCCAGGGUGAAGAGCAACACUUGCCAUCACAAGUUACCAGAAGUCCCUGCUGCAGCUCCAGCGUGAAGAGCAACACUUGCCAUCACAAGUUACCAGAAGUCCCUGAUGCUGCUCUAGGGUGUAGAAUAACAGUUUCCAUUACAAGUUGACUAAAGUCCCUACUGCUGUUCCAAGGUGAAGAGACCACGUGCCAUGAAAUGUUACCAGAAAUCUUUCCUGAAGCUACUGGGUGAAGAAGACCAAUUUCCCUAAGAAAAAUGCAGAAGACACAGCUGCAGCUUAGGGGUGGAGAGAGGCCUUUGAUAUCACAACAAAUCAGACGUCUCAGUUGCAGCUCUGGGUUGGACAGAGGUCUUUGCUAUCACAACCUAGCAUAGGUCUCAUUUACCGCUCCAGGAUAGAACGAGGCCUUUGCCAACCACAACUACGCAGGCGUCACAACUGCAGCUUAGUGGUGGAGAGCGGCCUUUGCUAUUACAACCAAGCAGAGGUCCAAGCUGCAGCUCCCGCUUGAAGAAGAACACUUCCUAUCACCAAUAAGUGGACUUCACAGCUGCAGCUCCAGUGUGAAGAAAAGGACUUUCCUCCAAAAGUAACCAGAAGUCCCUCCUGCUGCUCUAGGGUGAAGUACAACAGUUGCCAUCACAAGUUGCCAGAAGUCCUUGCUGCUGCUCCAGGGUGAAGAGGAACACUUGUGAUGACAAGUAACCAGAAGUCCCUGCUGACGCUCCAGGGUGAAGAGCAAUACUUGCCAUCACAAGUUACCAGAAGUCCCUGCUGCAGCUCCAGGGUGAAGAGCAACACUUGCCAUCACAAGUUACCAGAAGUCCCUGCUGUAGCUCCAGGGUGAAGAGGAACACUUGUGAUCACAAGUUACCAGAAGUCCCUGCUGCUGCUCCAGGGUGAAGAACAACAGUUUACAAUUCAAGUUGACUAAAGUCCCUACUGCUGUUCCAAGGUGAAGAGGACCACGUGCCAUGAAAUGUUUCAGAAAUCUUUCCUGAAGCUAGUGGGUGAAGAAGACCAAUUUCCCUAAGAAAAAUGCAGAAGACACAGCUUCAGCUUAGGUGUGGAGAGAGGCCUUUGAUAUCACAACAAAUCAGACGUCUCAGUUGCAGCUCUCGGUUGGAUAGAGGUCUUUGCUAUCACAACCUAGCAUAGGUCUCAUUUACCGCUGCAGGAUAGAAUGAGGCCUUUGCCAUCACAACUACGCAGGCGUCCCAAGUGCAGCUUAGUGGUGGAGAGAGGCCUUUGCCAUUACAACCAAGCAGAGGUCCAAGCUGCAGCCCCCGUUUGAAGAAGAACACUUCCUAUCACCAAUAAGUGGACUUCACAGCUGCAGUUCCAGUGUGAAGAAAAGGACUUUCCUCCAAAACUAACCAGAAGUCCCUCCUGAUGCUCUAGGGUGAAGAACAACAGUUGCCAUCACAAGUUGCAAGAAGUCCCUGCUGCUGCUCUAGGGUGAAAAGCAACACUUGCCAUUACAAGUUGCCUGAAGUCCCUGCUGUUGCUCCAAGGUGAAGAGGAACACUUGCCAUCACAAUUUGCCAGAUGUCCCUGCUGCAGCUCCAUGGUGAAUAGGAAUAUUUGCCAUCAAAAGUUACCAGAAAUCUUUCCUGUAGCUACUGGGUGAAGAAGACCAAUUACCCCAAGAAAAAUGCAGAGGACGCAGCUUCAGAUUAGGGGUGGAGAGAGGCCUUUUCUAUCAAACAAAGCAGAGGUCUCAGCUACAGUUCUGGGGUGGAGAGAGGCCUUUGCCAUCACAACCAAGCAGAGGUCCAAGCUGCAGCUCCCGUUUGAAGAAGAACACUUAAUAUGACCAAUAACUGGACAUCACAGCUGCGGGUCCAGUGUGAAGAAAAGCACUUGCCUCCAAAAGUAACCAGAAGUCCCUCCUGCUGCUCUAGGGUGAAGAACAACAGUUGCCAUCACAAGUUGUCAGAAGUCCCUGCUGCAGCUCCACGGUGAAGAGCAACACUUGCCAUCACAAGUUACCAGAAGUCCCUGCUGUAGCUCCAGGGUGAAGAGGAACACUUGUGAUCACAAGUUACCAGAAGUCCCUGCUGCUGCUCCAGGGUGAAGAACAACAGUUUCCAUUACAAGUUGCCUAAAGUCCCUGCUGCUGCUCCAAGGUGAAGAGGACCACGUGCCAUGAAAUGUUACCAGAAAUCUUUCCUGAAGCUACUGGGUGAAGAAGACCAAUUUCGCUAAGAAAAAUGCAGAAGACACAGCUGCAGCUUAGGGGUGGAGAGAGGCCUUUGAUAUCAUAACAAAUCAGAGGUCUCAGUUGCAGCUCUGGGUUGGACAGAGGUCUUUGCUAUCACAACCUAGCAGAGGUGUCAUAUACCGCUCCAGGAUAGAAUGAGGCCUUUGCCAUCACAACUACGCAGACGUCCCAACUGCAGCUUAGGGGUGGAGAGAGGCCUUUGCCAUCACAACCAUGCAGAGGUCCAAGCUGCAGCUCCCGUUUGAAGAAGAACACUUAAUAUCACCAAUAACUGGACAUCACAGCUGCGGGUCCAGUGUGAAGAAAAGCACUUGCCUCCAAAAGUAACCAGAAGUCCCUCCUGCUGCUCUAGGGUGAAGAACAACAGUUGCCAUCACAAGUUGCCAGAAGUCCCUGCUGCUGCUCCAGGGUGAAGAGGAACACUUGUGAUGACAAGUAACCAGAAGUCCCUGCUGACGCUCCAGGGUGAAGAGGAAUACUUGCCAUCACAAGUUACCAGAAGUCCCUGCUGCAGCUCCAGGGUGAAGAGCAACACUUGCCAUCACAAGUUAACAGAAGUCCCUGCUGCAGCUCCAGGGUGAAGAGCAACACUUGCCAUCACAAGUUACCAGAAGUCCCUGCUGCUGCUCUAGGGUGAAGAAUAACAGUUUCCAUUACAAGUUGCCUAAAGUCCCUGCUGCUGCUCCAAGGUGAAGAGGACCACGUGCCAUGAAAUGUUUCUAGAAAUCUUUCCUGAAGCUACUGGGUGAAGAAGACCAAUUUCCCUAAGAAAAAUGCAGAAGACACAGCUGCAGCUUAGUGGUGGAGAGAGGCCUUUGCCAGUACAACCAAACAGAGGUCCAAGCUGCAGCUCCCGUUUGAAGAAGAACACUUCCUAUCACCAAUAAGUGGACAUCACAGCUGCAGUUCCAGUGUGAAGAAAAGCACUUGCCUCCAAAAGUAACCAGAAGUCCCUCCUGCUGCUCCAGGGUGAAGAACAACAGUUGCCAUCACAAGUUGGCAGAAGUCCUUGCUGCUGCUCCAGGGUGAAGAGGAACACUUGUGAUGACAAGUAACCAGAAGUCCCUGCUGACGCUCCAGGGUGAAGAGGAAUACUUGCCAUCACAAGUUACCAGAAGUCCCUGCUGUAGCUCCAGGGUGAAGAGGAACACUUGUGAUCACAAGUUACCAGAAGUCCCUGCUGCUGCUCCAGGGUGAAGAACAACAGUUUACAUUAUAAGUUGCCUAAAGUCCCUGCUGCUGCACCAAGGUGAAGAGGACCACGUGCCAUGAAAUGUUACUAGAAAUCUUUCCUGAAGCUAAUGGGUGAAGAAGACCAAUUUCGCUAAGAAAAAUGCAGAAGACACAGCUGCAGCUUAGGGGUGGAGAGAGGCCUUUGAUAUCAUAACAAAUCAGAGGUCUCAGUUGCAGCUCUGGGUUGGUCAGAGGUCUUUGCUAUCACAACCUAGCAGAGGUGCCAUAUACCGCUCCAGGAUAGAAUGAGGCCUUUGCCAUCACAACCAAGCUGAGGUCCAAGCUGCAGCUCCCGUUUGAAGAAGAACACUUAAUAUCACCAAUACCUGGACAUCACAGCUGCGGGUCCAGUGCGAAGAAAAGCACUUGCCUCCAAAAGUAACCAGAAGUCCCUCCUGCUGCUCUAGGGUGAAGAACAACAGUUGCCAUUACAAGUUGCCAGAAGUCACUGCUGCUGCUCCAGGGUGAAGAGGAACACUUGUGAUGACAAGUAACCAGAAGUCCCUGCUGACGCUCCAGGGUGAAGAGGAACACUUGCCAUCACAAGUUACCAGAAGUCCCUGCUGCAGUUCCAGGGUGAAGAGCAACACUUGCCAUCAAUAGUUACCAGAAGUCCCUGCUGUAGCUCCAGGGUGAAGAGGAACACAUGUGAUCACAAGUUACCAGAAGUCCCUGCUGCUGCUCUAGGGUGAAGAAUAACAGUUUCCAUUACAAGUUGACUAAAGUCCCUGCUGCUGUUCCAAGGUGAAGAGGACCACGUGCCAUGAAAUGUUUCUAGAAAUCUUUCCUGAAGCUACUGGGUGAAGAAGACCAAUUUCCCUAAGAAAAAUGCAGAAGACACAGCUGCAGCUUAGUGGUGGAGAGAGGCCUUUGCCAGUACAACCAAGCAGAGGCCCAAGCUGCAGCUCCCGUUUGAAGAAGAACACUUCCUAUCACCAAUACGUGGACAUCACAGCUGCAGUUCCAGUGUGAAGAAAAGCACGUGCCUCCAAAAGUAACCAGAAGUCCCUCCUGCUGCUCUAGGGUGAAGAACAACAGUUGCCAUCACAAGUUCCCAGAAGUCCCUGCUGCAGCUCCAGGGUGAAGAGCAACACUUGCCAUCACAAGUUACCGGAAGUCCCUGCUGUAGCUCCAGGGUGAAGAGGAACACUUGUGAUCACAAGUUACCAGAAGUCCCUGCUGCUACUCCAGGGUUAAGAACAAAAGUUGCCAUCACAAGUUGCCAGAAGUCCCUGCUGCUGCUCCAGGGUGAAGAACAACAGUUCCCAUGACAAGUUGCCAGAAGUCCCUGCUGUUGCUCCAGGGUGAAGAGGAACACUUGUGACCACAAGCAACUAGAAGUCCCUGCUGACGCUCCAGUGUGAAGAGGAAUACUUGCUAUCACAAGAUACCAGAAGUUCCUGCUGCAGCUCCAGGGUGAAGAGGAACACUUGUCAUCAAAAGUAUCCAGAAGUCCCUGCUGUAGCUCCAGGGUGAAGAGGAACACUUGUUAUCACAAGUACCCAGAAGUCCCUGCUGCCGCUCCAGGUUGAAGAGCAAGACUUGUCAUCCUAAGUUGCCAGAAGUCCCUGCUGUAGCUCCAGGGUGAAUAGGACCAUUUGCCAUCAAAAGUUACCAGAAAUCUUUCCUGUAGCUACCGGGUGAUGAAGACCAAUUACCCCAAGAAAAAUGCAGUGGACCCAGCUGCAGAUUAGGGGGGGAGAGAGGCCUUUUCUAUCAAAACAAAGCAGAGGUCUCAGCUACAGCUCAGUGGUGGAGAGAGGCCUUUGCUAUCAGAAGAAAGCAGAGGUCUCAGCUGCAGUUCCAGGAUGCAGAGACAAAUUUUCCAUCACAACCAAGCAGCUGUCUCAGCUGCAGCUCCAAGAUGGAGAGAGGCCUUUGCCAUCACAACCAAGCAGAGGUCCAAGCUGCAGCUCCCAUUUGAAGAAGAACACUUACUAUCACCAAUAACUGGACAUCACAGCUGCAGGUCCAGUGUGAAGAAAAGCACUUGCCUCCAAAAGUAACCAGAAGUCCCUCCUGCUGCUCUAGGGUGAAGAAUAACAGUUGCCAUCACAAGUUGCCAGAAGUCCCUGCUGCUGCUCCAGGGUGAAGAGGAACACUUGUGAUGACAAGUAACCAGAAGUCCCUGCUGACGCUCCAGGGUGAAGAGGAAUACUUGCCAUCACAAGUUACCAGAAGUCCCUGCUGCAGCUCCAGGGUGAAGAGCAACACUUGCCAUCACAAGUUACCAGAAGUCCCUGCUGUACCUCCAGGGUGAAGAACAACAGUUUACAUUACAAGUUGCCUAAAGUCCCUGCUUCUGCACCAAGGUGAAGAGGACCACGUGCCAUGAAAUGUUACCAGAAAUCUUUCCUGAACAUAAUGGGUGAAGAGGACCACGUGCCAUGAAAUGUUACCAGAAAUCUUUCCUGAAGCUAAUGGGUGAAGAAGACCAAUUUCCCUAAGAAAAAUGCAGAAGACACAGCUGCAGCUUAGGGGUGGAGAGAGGCCUUUGAUAUCAUAACAAAUCAGAGGUCUCAGUUGCAUCUCUGGGUUGGACAGAGGUCUUUGCUAUCACAACCUAGCAGAGGUGUCAUAUACCGCUCCAGGAUAGAAUGAGGCCUUUGCCAUCACAACUACGCAGACGUCCCAACUGCAGCUUAGGGGUGGAGAGAGGCCUUUGCCAUCACAACCAAGCAGAGGUCCAAGCUGCAGCUCCCGUUUGAAGAAGAACACUUCCUAUCACCAAUAAGUGGACCUCACAGCUGCAGGUCCAGUGUGAAAAAAAGCACUUGCCUCCAAAAGUAACCAGAAGUCCCUUCUGCUGCUCUAGGGUGAAGAACAACAGUUGCCAUCACAAGUUGCAAGAAGUCCCUGCUGCUGCUCCAGGGUGAAGGGGAAAACUUUUGACCACAAAUACCCAGAAGUCCCUGCUGCUGCUCCAGGGUGAAGAGGAACACUUGCCAUCACAAGUUACCAGGAGUCCCUGCUGCAUCUCCAGGGUGAAGAGGAACAGUUGCCAUCACAAGUUACCAGAAGUCCCUGCUGCUACUCCAGGGUGAAGAACAACAGUUGCCCUCACAAUUUGCCAGAAGUCCCUGCUGCCGCUCCAGGGUGAAGAGGAACACUUGUGACCACAAGGACCCAGAAGUCCCUGCUGCUGCUCCUAGGUGAAGAGCAACACUUGCCAUCACAAGUUACCAGAAGUCCCUGCUGCUGCUCCAGGGUGAAGAGGAACACUUGCCAUCACAAGUUACCAGAAGUCCCUGCUGCUGCUCCAGGGUGAAGAACAAUAGUUGCCAUUACAAGGUGCCAGAAGUCCCUGCUGACGCUCCAGUGUGAAGAGGAAUACUUGCCAUCACAAGAUACCAGAAGUUCCUGCUGCAGCUCCAGGGUGAAGAGGAACAGUUGCCAUCACAAGUUACCAGAAGUCCCUGCUGCUACUCCAGGGUGAAGAACAACAGUUGCCCUCACAAUUUGCCAGAAGUCCCUGCUGCUGCUCCAGGGUGAAGAGGAACACUUGUGACCACAAGGACCCAGAAGUCCCUGCUGCUGCUCCUAGGUGAAGAGGAACACUUGCCAUCAGAAGUUACCAGAAGUCCCUGUUGCUGCUCCAGGGUGAAGAACAAUAGUUGCCAUUACAAGUUGCCAGAAGUCCCUGCUGCUGCUCCAAGGUGAAGAGGAACACUUGCCAUCACAAGUUACCAGAAGUCCCUGCUGCUGCUCCAGGGUGAAGAACAAUAGUUGCCAUUACAAGGUGCCAGAAGUCCCUGCUGACGCUCCAGUGUGAAGAGGAAUACUUGCCAUCACAAGAUACCAGCAGUUCCUGCUGCAGCUCCAGGGUGAAGACGAACACUUGUCAUCACAAGUAACCAGAAGUCCCUGCUGUAGCUCCAGGGUGAAGAGGAACACUUGUGAUCCCAAGUUACCAGAAGUCCCUGCUGCAGCUCCUGGCUGAAGAGGUACACAUUUCACCACAAGUAACCAGAAGUCCCUGUAGCAGCUCCAGGGUGAAGACGAACACUUGCCAUCACAAGUAAGCAGAAGUCCCUCCUGCAGCUCCAGGGUGAAGAACAACAGUUGCCAUCACAAAUUACUUGAAGUUCCUGCUGCAGGUCCAGGGUGAAGAGGAACACUUGCCAUCACACUUUACUCGAAGUCCCGGCCAUUGCUCCAGGGUGAAGAGGAAAACUUGCCAUCACAAGUAACCAGAAUUUCCUGAUGCCACUCGAGGGUGAAGAGGUGCCAUCAAAAAUUACGAGAAGUCCCUGCUGCUGUUCCAGGGGUAAAUAAGAGCAGUCCCAUCACACGUAACCAGAAUUCCCUGCUAUAGUGACAGGGUGAAGAGGAACACUUGCCAUCACACUUUACUCGACGUCCCGGCUAUUGCUCCAGGGUGAAGAGGAAAACUUGCCAUCACAAGUAACCAGAAUUUUCUGAUGCCACUCGAGGGUGAAGAGGUGCAGUUGCCAUCAAAAGUUACGAGAAGUCCCUGCUGCUGUUCCAGGGUGAUAUUCAUCUGGUAAACAUGGAAAGAAGCUGCUGUCCAAGUAAUUGAUGGUUUGAACCUGCUGUACCAAAGUUUUUUUCUAUGGAUCUCAACUUCGCCUUUGGAGUUCACUUUGAACUGCUUUUGAUUCAAUUCAUACGGACACCAGUUGUCAUUUUCACAUUGUCCUUCUCUGAUGUUUGAAAAGAUUGAAGGCAAAAGGAGAAGAGGAUGGCAGGAGGUGACAAAGAUGAGAGAGUGUCAUGGAAGGAGCAAACGUGAACUUGGACAGACUUUGUAAGAUAGCAGACAGAAGGGCCUGGUAUGCUAAGGUCUCUGGGGUCACAAAUCUUCAACGUUCAAAAUACCGGAGCCCAUAAAGUGAAUCAGAAGCAGGACAAACAGACAUCGGAUAACAAGACAGGGAUACACGAAGGAAGUGGGACUCAGAUGAGGACGUAUACAAUGGACGGGAACAAAGAAGACCCAAAGACAAGGAAUAUCCCAGAACAAUGAGAAUCCAUGACAUCUGCCCACCACAAUCUGUCCUGCCAUUCUCAAGACCAUGUGGCUUUCCUUCCCCUGCUUUGCUACCACAAGGAUGGAUACAGAACUUCCCACAACAAACACUGACAUCAUAUGGAGGAACCCGGUUUAUCUUCUUCUACGAUGGCAGAGUCAACUCUACAAAUGUACAUAGAAUAUAAGAGGGCCAAAAAGGAAUGGAAGGAAAGGAAAGGAAAGAGGAAAAAAAGGGAAGAGGAGGAAAAGGAAAUAAGCAUUUAUUAAGAACCUACUAUGUGUCAGGCACUGUGAUAAGCACUUUACUAAUAUUAUCUUAUUAAGUGUGAGAUCUGGACCCUCUGCCCCUUAAUCAUGUGCCACCACUUUGGAAAAGAUCAGAAAAGCUGCAAAAAAUUGAGGGGAGCCCAAGAAAAUGGUGUCUCCCCUGAAGUCAAAAGGAGACCCUGAGGGUGGGACCAUGUCAGAAGAUGAAAAAGAAACCAGAGCAAGAGAGCUUACAGUCCCUCAGAAGAAUAGGAAAAGACCGUGGCUACCCUAGCAAAGGUCCCAGCGGCCACAAAAGCCACCGCUCCUGCAACAAAGUGCCUGGGAUAUUUUCUAAGAAGGCCUCCGGCAAGAAAGGGCCACCCCGGCCAAAGCUGAUGUCAUCCUAACAGAAGCGGGAGCCCCCCCCCCCGAGCCACCCACCCAUGAGCAAAGGGGCCCCCAGGAAGUUAAGAAAGAAGAUGGUGACUCUGAAGAAGACAGUGAAGAUGAGAAGAGAGAACCUGGGCCACCCAGAGCUACAAAAGUGGGAGCAGCUCUAGCCAAAUACACUUAGAUGGUGGUAAUGGAGGAGGAAGAAGAAGAAAUGAAGGAGGAGGAGGAGGGUGGGGAAGAAGAAACAAAGGAAGAAGAAAUGGCGGCGGUGGAGGAGGAGGAGGGUGGGGAAGAAGAAACGAAGGAA
Molecule: long non-coding RNA, 34016 nt
Organism: Sarcophilus harrisii (Tasmanian devil)
Lineage: Eukaryota; Metazoa; Chordata; Mammalia; Dasyuromorphia; Dasyuridae
Source: Ensembl